RNAcentral lists this ribosomal RNA (1152 nucleotides) under human gut metagenome. RNAcentral describes it as "bacterial LSU rRNA". It matches the Rfam family "Bacterial large subunit ribosomal RNA", at positions 805 to 1983 of the family's 2925-position model. The record is from RNAcentral.
UGAGGUGUGGAUAGGGGAGAAAUUCCAAUCGAACCCGGAGAUAGCUGGUUCUCCUCGAAAUAGCUUUAGGGCUAGCCUCUGGUUAGUCUGCCGCAGGUAGAGCACUGAAUUUCCUAGGGGGCGUCAAAGCCUACCGAAGAAUAUCAAACUGCGAAUGGCGGACAGAUGAUGCCAGGGAGUCAGACUGCACGAGAUAAGUUGGGUGGUCAAAAGGGAAAGAGCCCAGACCUACAGCUAAGGUCCCAAAGUGUGUGUUAAGUGGAAAAGGAUGUGGGAUUUCGAAGACAACUAGGAUGUUGGCUCAGAAGCAGCCACACAUUAAAAGAGUGCGUAAUAGCUCACUAGUCGAGAGGUCCUGCGCCGAAAAUGUCCGGGGCUAAAACACAACACCGAAGCUUAGGAAUUCUAAUGAAUUGGUAGAGGAGCAUUGAAGACGGAACGAAGCCAUACCGUAAGGAAUGGUGGACUGUCUUGAAGAGAGAAUGCCGGAAUGAGUAGCGAGAUUGAAGUGAGAAUCUUCAAGGCCGAAUAUCUAAGGUUUCCAGGGUAAAGCUGAUCUGCCCUGGGUAAGUCGGGGCCUAAGGCAAGGUCGAAAGACGUAGUCGAUGGAUAACAGGUUGAAAUUCCUGUACUGCAUCAAAUCAGAAAUGUGGGGACACAUGAGGGAAGCAUGAGCCGGAAAAGGAAAGUCCGGUACAAGCGCAGCAGAGGACAGAUAGGCAAAACCGUCUGUCAACUCGAGGGCGUGAUGUGGAGCGAACCAAAGUAGCGAAGCAUGUGGAGCUUGUGUCGAGAAAAGCCGCUAUAGUGUUUGAUGUACCCGUACCGUAAACCGACACAGGUGGAUGAGGAGAGAAUCCUAAGGCCGGCGGGAGAAGCAUUGUUAAGGAACUCGGCAAAAUGACCCCGUAACUUCGGGAGAAGGGGUGCUCCAGAGAUGGAGCCGCAGAGAACUGGCCCAAGCAACUGUUUAGCAAAAACACAGGUCUAUGCAAAACCGAAAGGUGAGGUAUAUGGGCUGACGCCUGCCCGGUGCUGGAAGGUUAAGAGGAGAUGUUAGCCGCAAGGUGAAGCAUUGAAUUUAAGCCCCAGUAAACGGCGGCCGUAACUAUAACGGUCCUAAGGUAGCGAAAUUCCUUGUCGGGUAAGUUC